AGCCUGUAGCUCGCAGCGCGCGCUGGAGGUGGGCACGGGGCGGUGCGGGGCGGUGCGCGCGGGGCGGUGCCGCGCGGCGGAGGGAGCCGCGAUGGAGGGCGCUCCGACUGUCCGCCAGGUGAUGAAUGAAGGGGAUUCAAGCCUUGCCACCGAGUUACAGGAAGAUGUAGAGGAAAAUCCUAGUCCAACUGUGGAAGAGAAUAAUGUGGUAGUUAAAAAACAGGGGCCAAAUUUACAUAAUUGGAGUGGUGACUGGAGCUUUUGGAUUUCAAGUUCCACCUAUAAAGACAGGAAUGAGGAAUACAGAAGACAGUUCACACAUCUGCCUGAUACAGAGAGGCUGAUAGCAGAUUAUGCUUGUGCUCUUCAGAGGGACAUUUUGCUUCAGGGACGACUAUACCUUUCAGAAAACUGGCUAUGUUUCUAUAGCAACAUCUUCAGAUGGGAAACUACAGUAAGACAUUUUGCAUUUGAUUUGUUGAUACAAAUAAUUGCAUAGAGAUAUAUACAGUUCUUCCAAAAACUGUACUUUAGAUGAUUCCAAAGUAAAUUUAUAUAUAUUUGUGCAUCUAAACUAGUGUGCAUGUAAAUACAAACAUGUGUUGUAUAUAUAAGUAUGUAAUAUAUUUUUCUGAUUUAAUACAUUGAGCUCCAGUAUAGUUAAAGAUAUUUUAAUUGAAAAAAAGCUUGAACAUAUAUCUUAAUGGCUGCCAAAACCAUGUCUUAAGUGAC
RNAcentral lists this small RNA (732 nucleotides) under Pongo abelii (Sumatran orangutan). RNAcentral describes it as "retained intron". The record is from RNAcentral. Lineage: Eukaryota; Metazoa; Chordata; Mammalia; Primates; Hominidae.